RNAcentral lists this transfer RNA (73 nucleotides) under Mus musculus (house mouse). RNAcentral's name for it is "tRNA-Ile". The record is from RNAcentral. Lineage: Eukaryota; Metazoa; Chordata; Mammalia; Rodentia; Muridae.
GGAGAGGUGGCUCUGUGGUUUAGAGCACUGACUGAUCUUCUAAAGGUCCUGAGUUCAAAUCCCAGCAACCACA